AUUUAAGUAGUUUAUUAAAAUAUGGACUUGUGGCGUCCAAGAUGCUUGAUUGGCCUUAAAUA
Molecule: transfer RNA, 62 nt
Filed under: Lachnaia pubescens
Lineage: Eukaryota; Metazoa; Arthropoda; Insecta; Coleoptera; Chrysomelidae
Description: tRNA-His
Source: RNAcentral